GAUGAACGCUGGCGGCGUGCCUAAUACAUGCAAGUCGAACGAAACUUCUUUAUCACCGAGUGCUUGCACUCACCGAUAAAGAGUUGAGUGGCGAACGGGUGAGUAACACGUGGGCAACCUGCCCAAAAGAGGGGGAUAACACUUGGAAACAGGUGCUAAUACCGCAUAACCAUAGUUACCGCAUGGUAACUAUGUAAAAGGUGGCUAUACUACCGCUUUUGGAUGGGCCCGCGGCGCAUUAGCUAGUUGGUAGGGUAAAGGCUUACCAAGGCAAUGAUGCGUAGCCGAAUUGAGAGGUUGAUCGGCCACAUUGGGACUGAGACACGGCCCAAACUCCUACGGGAGGCAGCAGUAGGGAAUCUUCCACAAUGGGCGAAAGCCUGAUGGAGCAACGCCGCGGGGGUGAAGAAGGUCUUCGGAUCGUAAAACCCUGUUGUUAGAGAAGAAAGUGCGUGAGAGUAACUGUUCACGUUUCGACGGUAUCUAACCAGAAAGCCACUGCUAACUACGU
This 511-nucleotide ribosomal RNA is filed under the name uncultured bacterium. RNAcentral describes it as "partial 16S ribosomal RNA". It matches the Rfam family "Bacterial small subunit ribosomal RNA", at positions 28 to 506 of the family's 1533-position model. The record is from RNAcentral.